Molecule: ribosomal RNA, 549 nt
Filed under: uncultured bacterium
Lineage: Bacteria
Description: bacterial SSU rRNA
Rfam family: Bacterial small subunit ribosomal RNA
Source: RNAcentral
UAGGGAAUCUUCGGCAAUGGACGGAAGUCUGACCGAGCAACGCCGCGUGAGUGAAGAAGGUUUUCGGAUCGUAAAGCUCUGUUGUAAGAGAAGAACGAGUGUGAGAGUGGAAAGUUCACACUGUGACGGUAUCUUACCAGAAAGGGACGGCUAACUACGUGCCAGCAGCCGCGGUAAUACGUAGGUCCCGAGCGUUGUCCGGAUUUAUUGGGCGUAAAGCGAGCGCAGGCGGUUAGAUAAGUCUGAAGUUAAAGGCUGUGGCUUAACCAUAGUAGGCUUUGGAAACUGUUUAACUUGAGUGCAAGAGGGGAGAGUGGAAUUCCAUGUGUAGCGGUGAAAUGCGUAGAUAUAUGGAGGAACACCGGUGGCGAAAGCGGCUCUCUGGCUUGUAACUGACGCUGAGGCUCGAAAGCGUGGGGAGCAAACAGGAUUAGAUACCCUGGUAGUCCACGCUGUAAACGAUGAGUGCUAGGAUGUUAGACCCUUUCCGGGGUUUAGUGCCGUAGCUAACGCAUUAAGCACUCCGCCUGGGGAGUACGACCGCAGUUG